GUGCCAGCAGCCGCGGUAAUACGGAGGGAGCUAGCGUUGUUCGGAAUUACUGGGCGUAAAGCGUACGUAGGCGGUUAUUCAAGUCAGAGGUGAAAGCCUGGAGCUCAACUCCAGAACUGCCUUUGAAACUAGGUAACUAGAAUCACGGAGAGGUUAGUGGAAUUCCGAGUGUAGAGGUGAAAUUCGUAGAUAUUCGGAAGAACACCAGUGGCGAAGGCGACUAACUGGACGUGUAUUGACGCUGAGGUACGAAAGCGUGGGGAGCAAACAGGAUUAGAUACCCCCGUAGUCC
RNAcentral lists this ribosomal RNA (292 nucleotides) under uncultured bacterium. RNAcentral's name for it is "partial 16S ribosomal RNA". It matches the Rfam family "Bacterial small subunit ribosomal RNA", at positions 505 to 796 of the family's 1533-position model. The record is from RNAcentral.